Molecule: long non-coding RNA, 797 nt
Organism: Brienomyrus brachyistius
Lineage: Eukaryota; Metazoa; Chordata; Actinopteri; Osteoglossiformes; Mormyridae
Exons: 2
Source: RefSeq, a predicted model, not a curated record
UGUUCUUGGUCAGAACCAGCUGACAGUCUGGAAUCACUGCGGCCAUAUGCCACAAGUUGCCAUCUCGUUGUGGUUCAGCGUAGAUAUUAUACAAACGUAUUUCUAUCGCCAUCUAAGUCUGCAUCGUUCGCUUGCACCCUCUGGGAACAGGCGGUGUUCCGGGGGCUCUGAGGAUGCGCCGCACGUACCCCGAUCGCUGCGAUUAGGACGCAGCAGAACCCACUUUCUAACGAUAAGGCGCAGCCCCGUCUGCCAGGCGGGCGCCGCGCAUGACGGCUGACGUCACGCUGUCUCGCGACUCGGCGGAAAACGAAGCACGGGGGCGGGGGUGAGACUCGCGAGGUGAUUUAAUAUAACGGCUAACAAAUAUCCCGGAUUCCAAAUUGGGGUUCGGCCACAUUCCUGUGUAGCCUGUUUCUAUCAGUAUUCACUCAACAUUUACACUAUCGAUCGACAUAUCCGUAUUCGCACACUGCUUUCCGGUCACCGGUAUGGGAUGCCUGCAAAGGAGCUGCCGACGGCUAAGGGUGAGACUGAAAUCCCCAGCCCGUAUUGGCUGCCUGCUGAAGGAGGUGGGGAGGAUGCCUUUGUGAGCAUCACCGAACAUCCUUGUGUGAUCCAGCUUAUCUAGAGAGAGUCCAUCACGCGCUCCUGACAUAAUGAUAAGGGUGAUUGGAUCCAGCGGGGAGGCUUUUUCACCGGAGGGCCGCCGUGACCUUGUUUCCAACACGCAGCCUAAUAUAUCGAUUCUUCUCUCACUCGACCUCCUUGAUAUUAAUAAAAUAUAAGUUUGUAUA